Molecule: ribosomal RNA, 337 nt
Filed under: uncultured archaeon
Lineage: Archaea
Description: partial 16S ribosomal RNA
Rfam family: Archaeal small subunit ribosomal RNA
Source: RNAcentral
GGCCGCGGGAAUUCGAUUUUCCGGUUGAUCCUGCCAGACCCGACUGCUAUCAGAGUGGGACUAAGCCAUGCGAGUCAACGUAGAAAUACGUGGCAAACGGCUCAGUAACACGUAGUCAACAUGCCCAGGGGACGUGGAUAACCUCGGGAAACUGAGGAUAAACCGCGAUAGGCCAUGAUUUCUGGAAUGGUUCAUGGCCGAAAUCUAUAUGGCCCCUGGAUUGGACUGCGGCCGAUCAGGCUGUUGGUGAGGUAAUGGCCCACCAAACCUGUAACCGGUACGGGCUCUGAAAGGAGGAGCCCGGAGAUGGGCACUGAGACAAGGGCCCAGGCCCUAU